UAAUGGAUUCUUCAUCGAAUGAUGAAUUAUAUGCACUCGUUAAAUUGCCUUUCGGUAUGAGAAGAGUCUUUCCAAUAAAAGAUAUUUAUUUGAAGGAUGAAAAUAAUGAAUACAAUAUAAGUGCGACAUUAGAUUUACUCCAUGAUGCUAAUUUUGGUGCUGGUCGAACACUUCGAGUCUUUGCAGAAGAUAGUAAUGAAGCCAUUGCUUGUGUGGUACAGAAAAUAGACACUAAUCAAGAUACAUUUUUUUUUAUAUUUUCAAUUAGAUUAAAGUUUGUGGAAUUUGGGUGGAUAUCAGUCGUUACACUAAAGCAGGAAGAGCUACUGACAUGCGUAAACGAUGCAAUGGCAUAAUUGAGGCUAUAUGGCUAGAAAAAGAAGAUAGAGCUAAAUUGUUUGUAUCGGGACGACAUUGUAAAGAUGGUACUGUACUAACAGACCAACAUUAUCAACUCAUCUUAAGCAUGUGUCGUGAGUUACAAGUACAUAAGGUGUUCCCAUUUAAUAACGAGAACGAUCCCAUUCUUGAUGUUAAGGUUUGGGUUUCUAAAAAAUUAAAAAUGGAUCGACAUCGUUUCCUUCGAUCCCGAAAUAACAACGCUUUUUUUGAAAAAGAUGGCGAGGAUUCAGAUCUCAUUUCUGAUGAAGAAUAAAUAGUUGUUAAAUAUGACUCGUGAAAAGUAUCGGUUGGGAUGAAAUAUUUUUUUGCAUUACUUCUUCUCCAACUGAUAUA
RNA transcript from Chelonus insularis, 735 nucleotides. RefSeq lists it as uncharacterized. NCBI's taxonomy places the organism in Eukaryota, Metazoa, Arthropoda, Insecta, Hymenoptera, Braconidae. The transcript has 3 exons. The record is from RefSeq and is a predicted model, not a curated record.